Molecule: ribosomal RNA, 382 nt
Filed under: uncultured bacterium
Lineage: Bacteria
Description: bacterial SSU rRNA
Rfam family: Bacterial small subunit ribosomal RNA
Source: RNAcentral
UUGGCGGACGGGUGAGAACCACGUUGGAACCUGCCCCGAAGAGGGGGAUAACUACCCGAAAGGGUGGCUAAUACCCCAUAUACUCCGAUUUAUUCGGAGGAAAGCUUUUGCGCUUCGGGAGGGGCCUGCGUAACAUUAGCUUGUUGGUGAGGUAAAAGCUCACCAAGGCUACGAUGUUUAGCUGGUUUGAGAGGAUGAUCAGCCACACUGGGACUGAGAUACGGCCCAGACUCCUACGGGAGGCAGCAGUGAGGAAUAUUCCACAAUGGGGGAAACCCUGAUGGAGCGAUGCCGCGUGCAGGAAGACGCUUUUCGGAGUGUAAACUGCUUUUAAUAGGGAAGAUUAUGACGGUACCUAUAGAAUAAGGACCGGCUAACUACG